Molecule: non-coding RNA, 83 nt
Organism: Bombyx mori (domestic silkworm)
Lineage: Eukaryota; Metazoa; Arthropoda; Insecta; Lepidoptera; Bombycidae
Source: Rfam
UUAACUCAAGUUUGUGUGGAGUUGGAACGUUCGCCCCGUUUGCCGCUAGGGGCGCUGUCCCAACUGCAUACAAAUUUAUAUUA